Molecule: transfer RNA, 72 nt
Filed under: Acinetobacter phage Acj61
Lineage: Duplodnaviria; Heunggongvirae; Uroviricota; Caudoviricetes; Pantevenvirales; Straboviridae
Rfam family: tRNA
About the family: Transfer RNA (tRNA) molecules are approximately 80 nucleotides in length. Their secondary structure includes four short double-helical elements and three loops (D, anti-codon, and T loops). Further hydrogen bonds mediate the characteristic L-shaped molecular structure. tRNAs have two regions of fundamental functional importance: the anti-codon, which is responsible for specific mRNA codon recognition, and the 3' end, to which the tRNAs corresponding amino acid is attached (by aminoacyl-tRNA synthetases). tRNAs cope with the degeneracy of the genetic code in two manners: having more than one tRNA (with a specific anti-codon) for a particular amino acid; and 'wobble' base-pairing, i.e. permitting non-standard base-pairing at the 3rd anti-codon position.
Source: Rfam by way of RNAcentral
UGGACCAUGGUGUAAUGGUUAGCACCGCGAUUUGUGAUGUCGUUAGUCUCAGUUCGAAUCUGUGUGGUCCAA